Molecule: ribosomal RNA, 730 nt
Filed under: uncultured bacterium
Lineage: Bacteria
Description: bacterial SSU rRNA
Rfam family: Bacterial small subunit ribosomal RNA
Source: RNAcentral
CGAUUAGAGUUUGAUUCUGGCUCAGGAUGAACGCUGGCGGCGUGCUCAACACAUGCAAGUCGAACGGACUUUAUGGGAUUUAUCUUAUAGAGUUAGUGGCGGACGGGUGAGUAACACGUGAGCAACCUACCUUUUGCAGGGGAAUAACACUGGGAAACCAAUGCUAAUACCGCAUGUUGUACUUGUGAGGCAUCUUACGUGUAUGAAAGGAGCAAUCCGGCAGAAGAUGGGCUCGCGUCCGAUUAGGCAGUUGGUGGGGUAACGGCUCACCAAACCGAGGAUCGGUAGCCGGACUGAGAGGUUGAACGGCCACAUUGGGACUGAGACACGGCCCAGACUCCUACGGGAGGCAGCAGUGGGGAAUUUUGGGCAAUGGGGGGAACCCUGACCCAGCGACGCCGCGUGAAGGAAGAAGGCCUUCGGGUUGUAAACUUCUUUGAGGAGGGACGAAGAUGACGGUACCUCCAGAACAAGCCACGGCUAACUACGUGCCAGCAGCCGCGGUAAUACGUAGGUGGCGAGCGUUAUCCGGAAUUACUGGGUGUAAAGGGCGCGCAGGCGGCAUUAAAAGUCAGGUGUGAAAGCCCAAGGCUUAACUUUGGACGGUCAUCUGAAACUUUAGUGCUUGAGUGUCAGAGGGGAAAGUGGAAUUCCUAGUGGAGCGGUAAAAUGCGCAGAGAUUAGGAGGAACACCGGUGGCGAAGGCGACUUUCUGGCUGACAACUGACGC